Molecule: ribosomal RNA, 287 nt
Filed under: uncultured bacterium
Lineage: Bacteria
Description: partial 16S ribosomal RNA
Rfam family: Bacterial small subunit ribosomal RNA
Source: RNAcentral
GUGGAUUAGAUACCCUGGUAGUCCACACCGUAAACGAUGGAUACUAGGUGUAGGAUGUGAUAAACAUUCUGUGCCGUCGCAAACGCAAUAAGUAUCCCACCUGGGGAGUACGGCCGCAAGGUUGAAACUCAAAGGAAUUGACGGGGGCCCGCACAAGCAGUGGAGUAUGUGGUUUAAUUCGACGCAACGCGAAGAACCUUACCAGGGCUUGACAUAUACAGGAAUAAUUAAGAGAUUAAUUAGCUCUUCGGAGUCUGUAUACAGGUGGUGCACGUUCGUCGUCAGCU